Molecule: RNA transcript, 2217 nt
Organism: Perognathus longimembris pacificus (Pacific pocket mouse)
Lineage: Eukaryota; Metazoa; Chordata; Mammalia; Rodentia; Heteromyidae
Gene: Fbxo32
Gene name: F-box protein 32
Exons: 10
Source: RefSeq, a predicted model, not a curated record
CCCGAGGAGCGCCCCGCGCCCGCCCGCCCGCCCGCCCAUCCCCAGUCCCCGCGCUCCGCUCGAUCGCCGGGGACACCGAGCGCCCAGCCCUCCGCACCAGUUCCCGGGCGCUGCCCCCCCCCCCCCGCCGCCAGCCCGGGCCCCGGAGCACCCGCCCAGGGCUGCGCGCAGGUCCCCAGGCCGACAGGCCGGUGCUGCCUGUCCAUCAACCCGUCCACCCCGUGGGCUCCCAGCGCCAUGCCCUUCCUCGGACAGGACUGGCGGUCCCCCGGGCAGAGCUGGGUGAAGACGGCCGAUGGCUGGAAGCGCUUCCUGGAUGAGAAGAGCGGCAGCUUCGUGAGCGAGCUCGGCAGUUACCGCAACAAGGAGGUAUAUAACAAGGAAAACCUUUUCAACAGCCUCAACUACGAUGUUGCUGCCAAGAAGAGAAAGAAGGACAUACAGAAUAGCAAAACCAAAACUCAAUAUUUCCACCAAGAAAAAUGGAUCUACGUUCAUAAAGGAAGUACCAAAGAGCGCCAUGGAUAUUGUACUUUGGGGGAAGCUUUCAACAGACUGGACUUCUCCACCGCCAUUCUGGAUUCCAGAAGGUUCAACUAUGUAGUACGGCUGUUGGAACUGAUAGCAAAGUCACAGCUCACAUCCCUGAGUGGCAUUGCUCAAAAGAACUUCAUGAACAUUUUGGAAAAAGUGGUACUAAAAGUUCUUGAAGACCAACAAAACAUUAGACUUAUAAGGGAGCUGCUGCAGACCCUCUACACCUCCCUGUGCACAUUGGUCCAAAGAGUGGGCAAGUCUGUGCUGGUGGGAAACGUCAACAUGUGGGUGUAUCGGAUGGAGACCAUUCUACACUGGCAGCAACAGCUGAACAACAUCCAGAUCACCAGGCCUGCCUUCAAAGGCCUCACCUUCACUGACCUGCCUUUAUGCUUGCAACUGAACAUCCUGCAAAGGUUGAGUGAUGGACGGGACCUGGUCAGUCUGGGGCAGGUGGCCCCAGACCUGCACGUGCUCAGUGAGGACCGGCUGCUGUGGAAGAAACUCUGCCAGUACCACUUCUCCGAGCGGCAGAUCCGCAAGCGAUUAAUUUUGUCAGACAAAGGGCAGCUGGAUUGGAAGAAGAUGUAUUUUAAGCUUAUACGAUGUUAUCCAAGGAAAGAGCAAUAUGGAGACACCCUACAGCUUUGCAAGCAUUGCCACAUCCUUUCCUGGAAGGGCACCGACCAUCCGUGCACAGCCAACAACCCAGAGAGCUGCUCUAUUUCACUUUCACCCCAGGACUUUAUCAACUUGUUCAAAUUCUGAAUCCCAACACAUGACAACACUCCACAAGGGGCCCCUGCAGAUUGGAUGGCUGGAAGCUUGGACACUUCAUUUGUAAAUAGUGUACAUUUUAGACAUUGGCUCGAAACUUCAGCGAGAAGUCAUGGAGCGGACGUUGGAAGGGAGAGAUGCAGUUGCCGUUGAGAAUUUUUAAAUGUGAACUUCACAUUAGAACUGUACCAGCUGCUAGAUCCAGUGAGUUGUUAUGCAACAGAUGUUCACUGCUCUCGAAACCUCAUCUUCAUUCAGCAAAGAGUUUAUCCCAGCAGGCAGCGAGGAGCAAGAAGCUGUGAUAUUUGUGACUUUUUCUGCUGAGCCUACUUGAACUCAGUAAACAAAGUUUCCUGAAAAAUCUCUCUAAAUUUAGGCCCUGCUCCAUUUGAUCAAAAAUGGAUGGCUGCUACAACACUGGGAACUUUUUCGAAACUCCAUCAGUUCUAGCAUUACUAUUAGAGUUUGAACAUGACUCUGUCUCUGAGUAUAGAAGAUGAUUUAAUUAAUGAUGCAGAAGUCCAUUAAGCAGAAUGUUCCAAGCCCUGCUCUAUGUUUGGAAGGCUUUGGCGUCAUCUUUAUCCUAUCUAACACCAAUCACCCUGGCUGGAAAGAGUUUUUUUAUCUUAUAGUCUGUGACCUAGACUUCAAAGCUUGAGUGUACUUUUGAGAUAAGAAAUGUCAGAGUGGGUUGCAUAUUGUAACUAGAAGCAUAAAGUUAGACCAAUUCCAUGCCAAGAUGUUUAUUUAAUAUUGUGUGAGCUGAAUCCUGUAUAAAUUAUUUGCACACUUUUCUUGCAUGAUGAACUGAUUUUUUUAUAGUUGUUUGUACCAGACAGUGGCAUAUUUUUGUAAAAAAAAAAAAUUCGACACUGAAUUACAAUAAAUGUUUUUCCAACAACA